ACUUUCAACAACGGAUCUCUUGGCUCUCGCAUCGAUGAAGCACGCAGCGAAAUGCGAUAAGUAGUGUGAAUUGCAUAAUCUUGUGAAUCAUCGAAUCUUUGAACGCAAAUUGCACUCCCUGGUAUUCCGGGGAGUAUGCCUGUUUGAGGGUCGUU
Molecule: ribosomal RNA, 155 nt
Filed under: Funneliformis mosseae
Lineage: Eukaryota; Fungi; Glomeromycota; Glomeromycetes; Glomerales; Glomeraceae
Description: 5.8S ribosomal RNA
Rfam family: 5.8S ribosomal RNA
About the family: 5.8S ribosomal RNA (5.8S rRNA) is a component of the large subunit of the eukaryotic ribosome. It is transcribed by RNA polymerase I as part of the 45S precursor that also contains 18S and 28S rRNA.
Source: RNAcentral